RNAcentral lists this ribosomal RNA (406 nucleotides) under uncultured bacterium. Its description in RNAcentral is "partial 16S ribosomal RNA". It matches the Rfam family "Bacterial small subunit ribosomal RNA", at positions 30 to 526 of the family's 1533-position model. The record is from RNAcentral.
AUUGAACGCUGGCGGCAGGCUUAACACAUGCAAGUCGAACGAGUGGCGGACGGGUGAGUAAUGCUUGGGAAUCUAGCUUAUGGAGGGGGAUAACUACGGGAAACUGUAGCUAAUACCGCGUACCAUAGGAUGAGCCCAAGUGGGAUUAGGUAGUUGGUUGGGUAAAGGCUCACAAAGCCGACGAUCUCUAGCUGGUCUGAGAGGAUGAACAGACACACUGGAACUGAGACACGGCCCAGACUCCUACGGGAGGCAGCAGUGGGGAAUAUUGCACAAUGGGGGCAACCCUGACGCAGCCAUGCCGCGUGAAUGAAGAAGGCCUUAGGGUUGUAAAGUACUUUCAGCGAGGAGGCGUUACCCGCAGAAGAAGCACCGGCUAACUCCGUGCCAGCAGCCGCGGUAAUAC